GACGAACGCUGGCGGCGUGCUUAACACAUGCAAGUCGAACGGAAAGGCCCUGCUUUUGUGGGGUGCUCGAGUGGCGAACGGGUGAGUAACACGUGAGUAACCUGCCCUUGACUUUGGGAUAACUUCAGGAAACUGGGGCUAAUACCGGAUAGGAGCUCCUGCUGCAUGGUGGGGGUUGGAAAGUUUCGGCGGUUGGGGAUGGACUCGCGGCUUAUCAGCUUGUUGGUGGGGUAGUGGCUUACCAAGGCUUUGACGGGUAGCCGGCCUGAGAGGGUCACCGGCCACAUUGGGACUGAGAUACGGCCCAGACUCCUACGGGAGGCAGCGGUGGGGAAUAUUGCACAAUGGGCGGAAGCCUGAUGCAGCAACGCCGCGUGCGGGAUGACGGCCUUCGGGUUGUAAACCGCUUUCGCCUGUGACGAAGCGUGAGUGACGGUAAUGGGUAAAGAAGCACCGGCUAACUACGUG
This 468-nucleotide ribosomal RNA is filed under the name uncultured bacterium. Its description in RNAcentral is "partial 16S ribosomal RNA". It matches the Rfam family "Bacterial small subunit ribosomal RNA", at positions 28 to 507 of the family's 1533-position model. The record is from RNAcentral.